CCGGCAGCAUUCUUGCCAAUCCCGGCCUCUCCAGGGGUGUGGUAGCGGGGUGUUCUCGCGAUUUUUGCCUUACCCUUCUCGCUCCUGCACGAUUCCUGUCGCGAGACUUCCUGCUCCUCCACCUCCUCCGCCGCUCCCUUUGCCGCCGCCUAAGCCCGGGACCCGGAGCCAGCCUCUCCCCUACCCGAACACCGGCCCCGGCUCCACCGAGGCCCCGGUCCCCCAACCCCGCCUCGCCGCCGCCAUGGCGGACCCUAAAUACGCCGACCUUCCCGGCAUUGCUAGGAACGAGCCAGAUGUUUAUGAAACCAGCGAUCUGCCUGAGGAUGAUCAAGCCGAGUUUGAUGCGGAGGAGCUGACGAGCACAAGUGUGGAGCACAUCAUUGUCAAUCCCAAUGCCGCCUAUGACAAGUUCAAAGACAAGAGAGUGGGGACAAAGGGACUUGAUUUCUCAGAUCGUAUUGGAAAAAACAAGAGAACAGGAUAUGAAUCUGGAGAAUAUGAGCUGCUUGGAGAGGGCCUGGGAGUGAAGGAGACACCGCAGCAAAAGUACCAGCGACUAUUGCACGAGGUCCAAGAGCUGACAACUGAAGUUGAGAAAAUCAAGGCAACGGUGAAGGAGUCCUCCACUGAAGAGAAGCUGACCCCCGUGGUGUUGGCUAAACAGCUGGCCGCCCUGAAGCAGCAGCUGGUUGCUUCCCACCUGGAGAAGCUGCUGGGACCAGAUGCAGCCAUCAACCUUACUGACCCUGAUGGAGCUCUGGCUAAGCGCCUGCUGCUGCAGCUGGAGGCAACCAAAAACAGCAAAGGAACCGGUUCAGGGGGGAAGACCACCAGUGGGACUCUUGUAGAUAGUAGCCUUGUCACUUACGAACUACAUUCUCGGCCUGAACAGGACAAGUUCUCUCAAGCUGCCAAAGUUGCAGAACUUGAGAAGCGCCUGACAGAGCUGGAAGCAACUGUACGCUGUGAUCAGGAUGCUCAGAAUCCCCUUUCAGCAGGUGUGCAGGGAGCCUGUCUCAUGGAGACUGUAGAACUGUUGCAAGCAAAGGUGAAUGCCCUGGACCUUGCAGUUUUGGACCAAGUGGAGGCUCGGCUACAGAGUGUCCUGGGAAAGGUGAAUGAGAUUGCCAAGCAUAAAGCUUCUGUAGAAGAUGCAGAUACACAAAGCAAGGUGCACCAGCUCUACGACACCGUACAGCGCUGGAGCCCCAUCGCCUCCACCCUUCCGGAGCUGGUGCAGAGACUUGUCACCAUCAAGCAGCUGCAUGAGCAAGCCAUGCAGUUCGGUCAGCUCCUGACCCACUUGGAUACCACACAGCAGAUGAUUGCUAGCUCCCUCAAGGACAACACCACCCUCCUGACCCAGGUGUGCAGAAAACCAUGAGUGAGAACCUGUCCACGGUUGAGGGGAAUUUUGCCAACAUUGACGAACGGAUGAAGAAGCUGGGAAAGUGAGCACCUUUAGGAGAUGGAGAAUGGGGGUAAUCCUUACCCCCUUGAACUCUGUUAACAGCUUACAUAGGGUUUCCCCUUAAUUAUAACUCUUGCAUCCCCAUACCAUUUGACACUGGGGCAAAGGGGUCUUCUUGCAUGUGGGGUUUACACCCCUCCUCCGAGGAAUACAGAGUGGUAGCUGGGGGACAUUAGAUAGUGGUCUCCCCUCAGGCCCCGGGGACGUGGGCCUUGCCACAUGCCAGCUCCUGUCCAGUACUGCUUUGCUUGGGGCGGGGCAGGAUUGGGUCCUGUCCUCCAGCACAGCUCCCGUGGCUGGUUGCAGUUCUGUACAACUGUUUCUGAUUAUUAAAUGCUGUUGUACUCUGAAAAAAUGAGUACAGAGUCAGAGCCAGAGUUUCAAAAUAUUCUCAUCUGUUAAAUUAAGAGUGUCUCCCAUAGAAAAGCAGUGGAGGCCCCACAGGGCAAGUACAAAACAGAAUUAAAACUCCCAAGGGUCUUGUCUUUACAAAAGAAAAGGCAGGAGGCAGCCCCUGGACAGCGGGUUGUGCUGGCCGCUCCGGUUGGACCACGUUGCAUAAUCCUCGGUCGCAUCAUCACAACGUCUCUGAGCGUUCCGAUGGGGGAGAAGGGGCAGUGUAGUGUGUGUGGGAGGAGAGGCCCAGUGGGCUCUCUGUGCCCCCUUACCCCCUUUUAGAUCCCAGAGGAAAGUAGAGGGAAGCUGGCUACACCUUGAAAUGAGGCUAUGUGUUUCAAACCUGGGGACAGGGGUAAGAGGGGGGAUCUGUGCUUUGAGCAACCUGAGCCAGAGGCAGAGGGGUGUUGGAGGGAUGAGGGGGGAAUGCAUGAUGCUUAUUGCUUUGUACCUUUCACUGGGAAGGAGGGCAGCAGCCAACAGUAGCUCACAGGUUUGUAAACUGAGCCUGCUGGCUUCAAGAAGGGAGGCAAUGAAGUCGAAUUAAAUAUAAAAGAGUCAUUUGUGCAAAAAUAACUUAAACAAAUAAAAGACCUGGGGAAGGGGGUGUUCCCCUUAGCCUGGUGGGGAGAGGGCCAUAUACCACCCCCCCAGGCCUUUUCAGUGACAUGGCUUUGGGGGGGAGGGGGUGAGCUUCCCUACCCCCUGCAAUGGCUCAG
RNA transcript from Enhydra lutris kenyoni (northern sea otter), 2589 nucleotides. It is a transcript of the gene named dynactin subunit 2, with no coding region annotated. The transcript is spliced from 15 exons. The record is from RefSeq and is a predicted model, not a curated record. NCBI's taxonomy places the organism in Eukaryota, Metazoa, Chordata, Mammalia, Carnivora, Mustelidae.